AGGACGAACGCUGGCGGCGCGCCUAACACAUGCAAGUCGAGCGAGAACCAGGGCUUGCCCUGGGGACAGCGGCGAACGGGUGCGUAACACGUGAGCAACCUGCCCCAAAGACCGGGACAACCCGAGGAAACUCGGACUAAUACCGGAUGCCCUCACCGGGUCGCAUGGUCUGGUGAGGAAAUGGAUUCCGCUUUGGGAUGGGCUCGCGGUCUAUCAGCUUGUUGGUGGGGUAACGGCCUACCAAGGCGACGACGGAUAGCUGGUCUGAGAGGACGAUCAGCCACACUGGGACUGAGACACGGCCCAGACUCCUACGGGAGGCAGCAGUGGGGAAUCUUGCGCAAUGGGGGAAACCCUGACGCAGCGACGCCGCGUGCGGGAUGAAGGCCUUCGGGUUGUAAACCGCUUUCAGCAGGGACGAAUUGACGGUACCUGCAGAAGAAGGCCCGGCCAACUACGUGCCAGCAGCCGC
RNAcentral lists this ribosomal RNA (472 nucleotides) under uncultured bacterium. RNAcentral's name for it is "SSU rRNA". It matches the Rfam family "Bacterial small subunit ribosomal RNA", at positions 26 to 518 of the family's 1533-position model. The record is from RNAcentral.